AGUAACUUACCCAUGAUGGAACAGCAGGCAAGUGGCAGAGCUGGGGGACAGUGUGGCUGUCUCAGGAGGACACCCCUUAAAUGGUCCUCCUCACCUGGGAGACGAAGCUCCCCACCUCUGAGGGCGGGUCAUUCUUGCUGUCUCCUGCCACAUAGCCCCGCCUGAUGUCCUUCACCGACACGUUCUUCACAUUGAAGCCCACAUUGUCACCGGGCAGGGCCUCAGCCAGGGCCUCGUGGUGCAUCUCUACAGACUUGACCUCCGUGGUGAUAUUGCAGGGGGCAAAGGUCACCACCAUGCCGGGCCUGAGGAAGCCUGUUUCUACCCGGCCCACGGGCACAGUGCCGAUGCCUGGGGGACAGAGCAACCACAGCUGUCAGCAGCCAGACCUCCACGAGCCCCCAACCCCAAGCACCCCUAACACAGCAUGUACUCACCCCCAAUCUUAUAUACGUCCUGCAGAGGCAGCCGCAGGGGCUUGUUCACAGGGCGGGCAGGGGGCAUGAUGGAGUCUAGCGCUUCUAGCAGGGUCAUGCCCACCAUGUUUCCUUCCUUCCUGGUGAUCUUCCAGCCUCUGAACCAGGACAUCUGGAAAAGCCACCAAAUGUGCAGCUCACUUAGGCUUGAGGGAGCCUGUCCCAGGUGCCAAACUGGUUUUAACAUGAGACUUCAAGCAAUUUUUUAAUGCAUUUUGAGCCUCAGCUUCCUCAUCUAUGAAACGUAUCCCCACCUACCAUGCAGGCUCAAGUAAAACACAAAAGGCCACAUGCAAUCCACCAAGCACAAUGUUCGACAUGUACUAAACACCCACUAAGUGGUGGCCAUUCCUCUAAAUCUUGUAGUUGUUGCCCAACUUGAGCCAAUAUUUUUAGGAAGCAGAGAUUCCUAGAGUCUGAUUAGCUCUUGGUCUCAUUCUAUCUUGUCAUUCCACAGAUGGGGAAACAAAGGAGCAGAAAAAACAUACAGCAGAGUUAAGUAAGCAUCAGGAGCGAGAAUGAAGAUACAACUCAAAUACUCUAACACUUACACCUUCUGAACACUAGAUAUUCCCCAACAUCUUAGGCCAGGAGAGCGUUAUUGAGUGUGAGGCCUUCUAAAAGGAUAACUAAGUAUGACAGUACAUCGUAUGCAUGCCUUUUAAGCAGACACUAUUUACUUCUCUAAAAACCCUCGCCAAAGCUCAUCAGAAACGUCAUCUUUGCCUUCAGAGAUGUAUCAGUUAACUGGAAAUCCAGGACAGAGGAGGUACAGAAAGAGCCAAGGAGGUUGAUGUGAAAGGCCAAGUGAGCAGCCAGCCAUCAAGCGGCAGAGCUGAUCAGCAUGUGGCCUUAGCUCAGGCCGAAGGCAAACUGGUGGAAUCCCAGUCACAUUUCUCCUUUCCAGUCAUAGACCCUUGAGAAAAUCCCUAGGCUUUGGAAUCUCAGUCUACCAUCAGUGUCAAAGCAAUAGCAGCCCUUACCUAUUGAUUAAAGGCAGGACAUGGGAGAGGUGCCCUGGCCUUGGAAUCACACACAACAAUCUCUCAGUCCUUAGUGAGACUCUCAGAAGAGAGAGGAGCAGGGACUGCCGGGGGUGAAAGGGUCGGUAAGGGGGAUCAGGGAUGGCUUUGGUGGGUAGGGAAGAAGGCUCCAGUCAGGUAAGCCCUCUUCUGUGAGGGAGAAGCAGAGCUAUGCAGCACAGAAGCCACACAGAACACGUCUGGCCUAAUGGACUAAAAAAUGGGUGACUCAAGGAAUAAAGCUAUAAUUUCUAUUAAUACUCAACUCUAGUAAGCAGGGGGCGUGGGGUGGAAGGGAAGCAGGAGGCUUUGAAGAACUGUAAUAAGCAUUUUUAUAUAAAUAAUUCAAACGUAAAAAAAAAAAAGAACAUUUCCUCUUUUUACAGAGGAAUAAUUGAGGAUCAAAAGUAGGUUGCCCAAUGCCCAAACAAGAAGUUGAUAAGAAGGCCAACGCCCCACUCAAACAGAACCUCAUUGUGAGGAUAAUCUCUUCUAUUAGUUUGAUGAACUUGGACACUAACUUGGCUCUAUGCCAACUCAGAGGCCUGCAUAAUAAGCCUAGGAGGUCAGCAUCACCCCCCAUCUUAAAAAUGGGGAAACUGAUGUCUCCAAUGUCACAGGUAUUUCUUGAGAGUGGAGGCUAAAUCCUAGAUCUACUGUCUAGUCCACUGACUGCAUGUUUUGUUCUUUUAGCAUCUAGAACAUACUAGAUGUCCAAUAAAUGCCCGAAGGGACAAGAAGAUAAAAUCCCCUUAUUUCACUAGCUGAACUAUGUGCUGAUACUUGGGGAAUGGGCAUCAAAGCUUUAGGUUUCUGUUCUAUGGUCAUUUUAGAAGAGCCCGCCUUCACCACCCAAUAUAGAAGAACUCUCUCAUACCAUGCCCCCCUCAUCCUUAAGUUUUUCUUAGCAUUUGUCAUCAUCCACUAUAUCACCACCCCCCUGUCUGUCCCACCCAAGACCCAAGACUGCAGUGCCACGAGCGGGGCUGGGUCUCAUUCCCCACCACACCCUCAGCACCAAGGACAGUGCCCAGCAUGCAAAUGUUGAAGUACCAUCCAAGUGAACACACUGCCAAUGGUAGUUCUAAUCUUUCCUAAGGACGGUUGGGCAAUAUGUGUCAGAAGACUCUGAAAUAAUGCCUACCCUUUGUUUCAGUAGGAAUUUAUUCUAAUUAAAUUAUCGAGGACACAUGCAAAGAUUUAUUUACCAAGAUGAUUAUGGUGGUUUUUAACAAAACAAGAAACCAUAUUCUUGGAAGCUGGUGACCUUGGGCUAUUAUUUAACUACACUGUGUCCCAGUUUUCUUAUUUUACAUGGGAAUAAAAUGCGCUCUUCAUGG
This is a long non-coding RNA of Acinonyx jubatus (cheetah), 2838 nucleotides long. RefSeq lists it as uncharacterized. Lineage: Eukaryota; Metazoa; Chordata; Mammalia; Carnivora; Felidae. The record is from RefSeq and is a predicted model, not a curated record. The transcript is spliced from 2 exons.